This 792-nucleotide ribosomal RNA is filed under the name uncultured bacterium. Its description in RNAcentral is "bacterial SSU rRNA". It matches the Rfam family "Bacterial small subunit ribosomal RNA", at positions 8 to 796 of the family's 1533-position model. The record is from RNAcentral.
AGAGUUUGAUCAUGGCUCAGAUUGAACGCUGGCGGAAUGCUUUACACAUGCAAGUCGAGCGGCAGCGCGGGGCAACCUGGCGGCGAGCGGCGAACGGGUGAGUAAUGCAUCGGAACGUGUCCAUGUCGUGGGGGAUAGCCCGGCGAAAGCCGGAUUAAUACCGCAUACGCCCGAGAGGGGAAAGUGGGGGACCGCAAGGCCUCACGCGAUUGGAUCGGCCGAUGUCCGAUUAGCUAGUUGGCGGGGUAAAGGCCCACCAAGGCGAUGAUCGGUAGCUGGUCUGAGAGGAUGAUCAGCCACACUGGGACUGAGACACGGCCCAGACUCCUACGGGAGGCAGCAGUGGGGAAUUUUGGACAAUGGGGGCAACCCUGAUCCAGCCAUUCCGCGUGAGUGAAGAAGGCCUUCGGGUUGUAAAGCUCUUUUGUCCGGAGCGAAACGGGCGACGUGAAUAUCGUUGUCUACUGACGGUACCGGAAGAAUAAGCACCGGCUAACUACGUGCCAGCAGCCGCGGUAAUACGUAGGGUGCGAGCGUUAAUCGGAAUUACUGGGCGUAAAGCGUGCGCAGGCGGUUUUGUAAGCCGGAUGUGAAAUCCCCGGGCUUAACCUGGGAAUGGCAUUCGGGACUGCAAGGCUGGAGUGCGGCAGAGGAGACUGGAAUUCCUGGUGUAGCAGUGAAAUGCGUAGAUAUCAGGAGGAACACCGAUGGCGAAGGCAGGUCUCUGGGCUGACACUGACGCUCAUGCACGAAAGCGUGGGGAGCAAACAGGAUUAGAUACCCUAGUAGUCC